UCCCAUGUGGUCUAGAGGUUAUGAUGUCUGGUUUUCAUGAAGCUCGAAGCAAAAAUCCCAGAAGAUCACGAGUUCGAAUCUCGUCAUGGGAA
RNAcentral lists this transfer RNA (92 nucleotides) under Cryptomonas paramaecium. RNAcentral describes it as "Cryptomonas paramecium tRNA-Glu". It matches the Rfam family "tRNA". From Rfam's summary of the family: Transfer RNA (tRNA) molecules are approximately 80 nucleotides in length. Their secondary structure includes four short double-helical elements and three loops (D, anti-codon, and T loops). Lineage: Eukaryota; Cryptophyceae; Cryptomonadales; Cryptomonadaceae. The record is from RNAcentral.